ACGUAGGGUGCGAGCGUUGUCCGGAAUUAUUGGGCGUAAAGGGCUCGUAGGCGGUCUGUCGCGUCGGGAGUGAAAACUCAGGGCUUAACCCUGAGCCUGCUUCCGAUACGGGCAGACUAGAGGUAUGCAGGGGAGAACGGAAUUCCUGGUGUAGCGGUGGAAUGCGCAGAUAUCAGGAGGAACACCGGUGGCGAAGGCGGUUCUCUGGGCAUUACCUGACGCUGAGGAGCGAAAGUGUGGGGAGCGAACAGGA
This 253-nucleotide ribosomal RNA is filed under the name uncultured prokaryote. RNAcentral describes it as "partial 16S ribosomal RNA". It matches the Rfam family "Bacterial small subunit ribosomal RNA", at positions 525 to 777 of the family's 1533-position model. The record is from RNAcentral.